CAGGUAAUUUUCAAGGGUGUUGCAGGUUAAAGGUGGCGUGUGUCCAGAUUUAACUCGGAAGGGAUGAAUUUCAUCCAAGUUACCAUGAUAUAAGUAACGACAUCUCAUUUUUCUGGCUAAUUCAUCAAAAUCAUGUAAUAAGUCCUGCUUUGCCCUUUUGACCGACGGUGAAGGAAUGAAUUUUAAACCUCUGGAUAAAAC
This 201-nucleotide long non-coding RNA is filed under the name Mytilus galloprovincialis (Mediterranean mussel). The record is from RNAcentral. Lineage: Eukaryota; Metazoa; Mollusca; Bivalvia; Mytilida; Mytilidae.